RNAcentral lists this ribosomal RNA (1484 nucleotides) under Lacticaseibacillus rhamnosus. RNAcentral describes it as "bacterial SSU rRNA". It matches the Rfam family "Bacterial small subunit ribosomal RNA". Lineage: Bacteria; Bacillati; Bacillota; Bacilli; Lactobacillales; Lactobacillaceae. The record is from RNAcentral.
CCCCGUUGGGGGCGUGCUCUAAUGAUGCAAGUCGAACGAGUUCUGAUUAUUGAAAGGUGCUUGCAUCUUGAUUUAAUUUUGAACGAGUGGCGGACGGGUGAGUAACACGUGGGUAACCUGCCCUUAAGUGGGGGAUAACAUUUGGAAACAGAUGCUAAUACCGCAUAAAUCCAAGAACCGCAUGGUUCUUGGCUGAAAGAUGGCGUAAGCUAUCGCUUUUGGAUGGACCCGCGGCGUAUUAGCUAGUUGGUGAGGUAACGGCUCACCAAGGCAAUGAUACGUAGCCGAACUGAGAGGUUGAUCGGCCACAUUGGGACUGAGACACGGCCCAAACUCCUACGGGAGGCAGCAGUAGGGAAUCUUCCACAAUGGACGCAAGUCUGAUGGAGCAACGCCGCGUGAGUGAAGAAGGCUUUCGGGUCGUAAAACUCUGUUGUUGGAGAAGAAUGGUCGGCAGAGUAACUGUUGUCGGCGUGACGGUAUCCAACCAGAAAGCCACGGCUAACUACGUGCCAGCAGCCGCGGUAAUACGUAGGUGGCAAGCGUUAUCCGGAUUUAUUGGGCGUAAAGCGAGCGCAGGCGGUUUUUUAAGUCUGAUGUGAAAGCCCUCGGCUUAACCGAGGAAGUGCAUCGGAAACUGGGAAACUUGAGUGCAGAAGAGGACAGUGGAACUCCAUGUGUAGCGGUGAAAUGCGUAGAUAUAUGGAAGAACACCAGUGGCGAAGGCGGCUGUCUGGUCUGUAACUGACGCUGAGGCUCGAAAGCAUGGGUAGCGAACAGGAUUAGAUACCCUGGUAGUCCAUGCCGUAAACGAUGAAUGCUAGGUGUUGGAGGGUUUCCGCCCUUCAGUGCCGCAGCUAACGCAUUAAGCAUUCCGCCUGGGGAGUACGACCGCAAGGUUGAAACUCAAAGGAAUUGACGGGGGCCCGCACAAGCGGUGGAGCAUGUGGUUUAAUUCGAAGCAACGCGAAGAACCUUACCAGGUCUUGACAUCUUUUGAUCACCUGAGAGAUCAGGUUUCCCCUUCGGGGGCAAAAUGACAGGUGGUGCAUGGUUGUCGUCAGCUCGUGUCGUGAGAUGUUGGGUUAAGUCCCGCAACGAGCGCAACCCUUAUGACUAGUUGCCAGCAUUUAGUUGGGCACUCUAGUAAGACUGCCGGUGACAAACCGGAGGAAGGUGGGGAUGACGUCAAAUCAUCAUGCCCCUUAUGACCUGGGCUACACACGUGCUACAAUGGAUGGUACAACGAGUUGCGAGACCGCGAGGUCAAGCUAAUCUCUUAAAGCCAUUCUCAGUUCGGACUGUAGGCUGCAACUCGCCUACACGAAGUCGGAAUCGCUAGUAAUCGCGGAUCAGCACGCCGCGGUGAAUACGUUCCCGGGCCUUGUACACACCGCCCGUCACACCAUGAGAGUUUGUAACACCCGAAGCCGGUGGCGUAACCCUUUUAGGGAGCGAGCCGUCUAAGGGGGGGCAAAGGAGUG